UGGGGAAUUUUGGACAAUGGGCGCAAGCCUGAUCCAGCCAUGCCGCGUGCAGGAUGAAGGCCUUCGGGUUGUAAACUGCUUUUGUACGGAACGAAAAGACUCUGGUUAAUACCUGGGGUCCAUGACGGUACCGUAAGAAUAAGCACCGGCUAACUACGUGCCAGCAGCCGCGGUAAUACGUAGGGUGCGAGCGUUAAUCGGAAUUACUGGGCGUAAAGCGUGCGCAGGCGGUUAUAUAAGACAGAUGUGAAAUCCCCGGGCUCAACCUGGGAACUGCAUUUGUGACUGUAUAGCUAGAGUACGGCAGAGGGGGAUGGAAUUCCGCGUGUAGCAGUGAAAUGCGUAGAUAUGCGGAGGAACACCGAUGGCGAAGGCAAUCCCCUGGGCCUGUACUGACGCUCAUGCACGAAAGCGUGGGGAGCAAACAGGAUUAGAUACCCGGGUAGUCCCUGAGCGGGCUGGCAAGGCGCAU
Molecule: ribosomal RNA, 472 nt
Filed under: uncultured bacterium
Lineage: Bacteria
Description: bacterial SSU rRNA
Rfam family: Bacterial small subunit ribosomal RNA
Source: RNAcentral